GAUGAAGAACGCAGCAAAAUGCGAUAAGUAAUGUGAAUUGCAGAAUUCAGUGAAUCAUCGAAUCUUUGAACGCACAUUGCGCCCGCCAGUAUUCUGGCGGGCAUGCCUGUCUGAGCGUCAUUUCAACCCUCAUGCCCCUAGGGCGUGGUGUUGGGGAUCGGCCAAAGCCCGCGAGGGACGGCCGGCCCCUAAAUCUAGUGGCGGACCCGUCGUGGCCUCCUCUGCGAAGUAGUGAUAUUCCGCAUCGGAGAGCGAUGAGCCCCUGCCGUUAAACCCCCAACUUUCCAAGGUUGACCUCAGAUCAGGUAGGAAUACCCGCUGAACUUAAGCAUAUCAAUAAGCGGAGGA
This 348-nucleotide unclassified non-coding RNA is filed under the name soil metagenome. RNAcentral's name for it is "partial contains 5.8S ribosomal RNA, internal transcribed spacer 2, and large subunit ribosomal RNA". The stretch from base 1 to 120 matches the Rfam family "5.8S ribosomal RNA", at positions 35 to 154 of the family's 154-position model. The record is from RNAcentral.